RNAcentral lists this transfer RNA (67 nucleotides) under bovine gut metagenome. It matches the Rfam family "tRNA", at positions 5 to 66 of the family's 71-position model. Rfam says of the family: Transfer RNA (tRNA) molecules are approximately 80 nucleotides in length. Their secondary structure includes four short double-helical elements and three loops (D, anti-codon, and T loops). Further hydrogen bonds mediate the characteristic L-shaped molecular structure. tRNAs have two regions of fundamental functional importance: the anti-codon, which is responsible for specific mRNA codon recognition, and the 3' end, to which the tRNAs corresponding amino acid is attached (by aminoacyl-tRNA synthetases). tRNAs cope with the degeneracy of the genetic code in two manners: having more than one tRNA (with a specific anti-codon) for a particular amino acid; and 'wobble' base-pairing, i.e. permitting non-standard base-pairing at the 3rd anti-codon position. The record is from RNAcentral.
CCAUAGCUCAGUUGGUAGAGCAAAGGACUGAAAAUCCUUGUGUCCCCGGUUCGAUUCCUGGUGGCAC